UAUCUGAAGUCUGACGAGGAUGAGAACCUCCGGGGGCAAGAGGUUCGACUCGAGCGAAGCGAGAGAACGUUGCGCCAGCAACGGCCCGCAGGGCGAGCCACGCAGUGGCGAGUCAUCCUCUAUCACCGACCA
Molecule: small RNA, 132 nt
Filed under: Salmonella enterica
Lineage: Bacteria; Pseudomonadati; Pseudomonadota; Gammaproteobacteria; Enterobacterales; Enterobacteriaceae
Description: RtT sRNA
Rfam family: RtT RNA
About the family: This family represents a bacterial cis-regulatory element known as RtT RNA. The exact function of RtT is unknown although it is thought that it may be involved in changing the cellular response in relation to amino acid starvation.
Source: RNAcentral